AACACUCUCCGUCUGCACUUCCGGCUUCAUCCCUUUGCUUUUUAAGUUCCCCCUGGGAACGCGCGGCCACUGAGAUCUGCGUUCCGGCCGCCAUGGCCGCGGCGGGCGGUGGUGGGGAUGGAGGUGCUGGGCCGGGCCGAGCCCUGCAGACCGCCAUGAGGGCGGCGAGCGGGGCUUUAGAGAUGGACAGCGCGGGGAGGACGCGGGAAGCCUAUGUGGAGUAUCUGAAGAGCAUCACCCUCAUCUCACAGGCCCUGCAAGACGAGGCAGCGCUGACAGAGGACAGCGAAGGGCUCGGCUCCAACACACCCAAAAUGCUGAAGCUGGCAGAGCAGUGCCUGGAGAGAGUCAAGUCCUUGGCAGCCACACUGGGGCAAAAAACAAACAAGGCAAAACCGAGCGUGCCGGGGGGGCCUGCACCCAUCUCCAGGCACCGCAGGGUUUUCUCUGAUGAGGGAGGCAAGCUGUCACCCUUCCUGCCGCCGGAGAUCUUCCAGAAGCUGCAGAUUGCUGAGGCACAGAGUGCACGCAAGGAGCUGACACCACUGGAGGAGGCAUCGCUACAGAACCAGAAGCUGAAAGCUGCCUACGAGGCACGGGUGGCACGGCUCAACCCCAGCCAGGCCCUGCAGAAAACCUCGCUGACGCUGUCUCUACAACGGCAGAUGAUGGAGAAUCUGGUGAUCGCCAGGGCACGAGAGGAGACUCUGCAGAGGAAAAUGGAGGAGCGGCGGCUGCGGCUGCAGGAGGCGGCCAACAGGAGGUUCUCCAGCAGUGUGGCCCUAACCCCUGAGGAGCAAGAGCAGAGAGAGCUCUAUGCUGCCAUCCUUGAGUAUGAACAGGACCAUGAUUGGCCACGGCAGUGGAAGGCCAGGCUGAAGAGGAGCCCGUCAGACCUGUCUCUGGUGACAGGGCUCUUCUCCUGCCUCCUCAGCUUCCCAGAGCACCCCAUAGUUCAGCUCCUGCGCAAGCUGCAGUGUGCGGUGUACACUCGGCUGUACCCAGCCAUCAGCCAGAGCAACCAUGAUGCCACUUCUGCAGCCCCCACCGGCCUUGCUUUCCUUUCACUGGAUGCAGGAGGGCUGCUGCCUGCAGAGCCAGGGGGCCGGCGGCUCCGAGCCUCCCGCAGCCUGCACUGCAUGUUCUCAGUGCCUGAGCACGGCCCAGCCACGCUGCGGCACAGCAUCUCCGGAGCAACCCUGACUGAUGGCAGCCCUGACGCCUCCAGGGCAGAAGGGAAUCCUCGGUCUCCCCGGGAGAGCUCCUUUGAGGAUCUGGAGCGGUUCCUGGCAUCGCCUGAGGACUGGCCCCCAGCAGAGCCCAUGGCUGGGCCCAGGCCUGCGGCAUCGCUGCAGGAGCAGCUGAAGGGCAUCGUGCGGGACAUCCACAAUGCCAUUGACAGGCUGCUGUCCCUGACCCUGCUGGCCUUUGAGGGGUUGAGCACUGCUGCUGGCAAGGACCAGUGCCUGGCCUGCAUCGAGGAUGCUUUCUUCCCUCCAUUGUGGGCCCCGCUGCUGGCCCUUUACAGAGGAAGCCCUGGCUCGCAGCAUGGAGCGGCACCGCCACGCCAGCCCCGCCGACCUGGGGCUGUCCCCUCGGCUCUUCCCCACUGCGCCCGGCCGCCUGGCCUACGGUGCUGCCAUUGAGGAGCUGUGCCUCAUCCCCCUGGAGACUUGUCCCCGCAGGAAGCUGGACUGCAUCGUGCGAGCCCUGCGCAGCAUCUGCGAGUGUGCCGAGGAGUACUGCAGCACCCGCGACAGCCGUGCUCCCACUGCUGGCACCAUGUGAGUAUGGGGUGAGGAGUGCAGCCCUGCUGCCAUGGGGCUGGGGAGGUGGGCUGGUGGGGCUGCUGAUUUGCACCGGAGGGGCUGGCGGCUCUUGUAGGGGUGUCUGUCAGCCCGAUGGUCCCUGUUGUGGGUGGACAGCGAUGCUGGUUGAGCUGGGGUUGAUGGUUCCUGCUGCAGCACGCUGACUGUUUCUGCUGUGGUCGUUAACGGUACCCCACAGGGUUUGCUGUUCCCAUUUUGGGGAACUGAUGGUUCUUCUGCCAUGCUGGUGGAGCCAGUGGUGCCCAGUGCCAUAGCAGUUGGGCUGAUUGUCCCUUUGCCACGGUGUCAGGGUUGAUGGUUCCACUGCCGGGCUGGUGGGGCAACAGUCCCACGGCCGUGGUGGUGGGGUCUGAGCAUUCCACUACCGCGGAGGUGAUGAACCCGAUUGCCCCUUCGCCACGGCAGCGGGCCCACGGUCCUUUAGCCACGGUGAUGGGGGCCGAUGGCCCCGUUGCCACGGCGACGGGCCCGAUGUUCCCGCUGCCACGGUGACGGGGCCCCUGACUGAUGCACGUGGCAGCGGGGCGGAUGAGCUGCUGCCUCUCCUGUCCUACGCGGUGCUGCGCAGCGCUCUGCCCCAGCUGCUGUCGGAGUGCGCCGCGCUGGAGGAGUU
RNA transcript from Phasianus colchicus (ring-necked pheasant), 2442 nucleotides. It is a transcript of the gene named VPS9 domain containing 1, with no coding region annotated. NCBI's taxonomy places the organism in Eukaryota, Metazoa, Chordata, Aves, Galliformes, Phasianidae. The record is from RefSeq and is a predicted model, not a curated record.